UCAAAUGAACACUAUCUGCUCUGUCCUUUACGUGUAUUAUGUUAAUCUUCCCAAAGAAUGUGUGACCUGCCAAAAUGCUGUGAGCUGAGGAGGAAAAGCCAGCAAAAGAGGCUGUCGAACACUCAUGGAGUUAGGGGACAUUUAGAGGGACCAGUGCCUCUGAAGAGAAAGCAGAAGAGGCUUUCAAGUAGAAUGGAGCUGUCAAACAUGUACAAUAAUAAAGAUAAUUUAAGAGAAUGAAA
Non-coding RNA from Vicugna pacos (alpaca), 242 nucleotides. Lineage: Eukaryota; Metazoa; Chordata; Mammalia; Artiodactyla; Camelidae. The record is from RefSeq and is a predicted model, not a curated record.